UAGGGAAUCUUCGGCAAUGGACGGAAGUCUGACCGAGCAACGCCGCGUGAGUGAAGAAGGUUUUCGGAUCGUAAAGCUCUGUUGUAAGAGAAGAACGAGUGUGAGAGUGGAAAGUUCACACUGUGACGGUAUCUUACCAGAAAGGGACGGCUAACUACGUGCCAGCAGCCGCGGUAAUACGUAGGUCCCGAGCGUUGUCCGGAUUUAUUGGGCGUAAAGCGAGCGCAGGCGGUUAGAUAAGUCUGAAGUUAAAGGCUGUGGCUUAACCAUAGUAGGCUUUGGAAACUGUUUAACUUGAGUGCAAGAGGGGAGAGUGGAAUUCCAUGUGUAGCGGUGAAAUGCGUAGAUAUAUGGAGGAACACCGGUGGCGAAAGCGGCUCUCUGGCUUGUAACUGACGCUGAGGCUCGAAAGCGUGGGGAGCAAACAGGAUUAGAUACCCUGGUAGUCCACGCUGUAAACGAUGAGUGCUAAGUGUUGGGGGCUUUCCGGCCCUCGGUGCUGGAGCUAACGUAUUAAGCACUCCGCCUGGGGAUUACGACCGCAAGGUUG
Molecule: ribosomal RNA, 550 nt
Filed under: uncultured bacterium
Lineage: Bacteria
Description: bacterial SSU rRNA
Rfam family: Bacterial small subunit ribosomal RNA
Source: RNAcentral